GCACUGCCGACGAGUCCCACAAUAGGACGAAACGGCCGUCCAGUAC
This is a non-coding RNA of Schistosoma margrebowiei, 46 nucleotides long. The record is from Rfam. Lineage: Eukaryota; Metazoa; Platyhelminthes; Trematoda; Strigeidida; Schistosomatidae.